Long non-coding RNA from Gordionus sp. m RMFG-2023, 590 nucleotides. RefSeq lists it as uncharacterized. NCBI's taxonomy places the organism in Eukaryota, Metazoa, Nematomorpha, Gordioida, Chordodea, Parachordodidae. The transcript is spliced from 3 exons. The record is from RefSeq and is a predicted model, not a curated record.
ACACAUUUAUAUAAAACAUAGAAUUUUACAGUUGCCAAAUUGUAAACAAUCAAAUUUAUAUAUAUAAAGGAGUGAAAUACAUGCAAAUACAUUUACAUUAUACUUAAAACUUUUUAAAAUUUUUACUUCAUAUAAAUAAGUAAUUUUUCUUAGAUACCUAAUACACAUCUAAAUGAACUACAAAGGAUUAUUUGCUAUUUCCUUAGUCAUGAUGGCAUUAUUAAGUGUUAUGGUUGAAGCUGAUAUUGAGGCGCAUCCUGCAGAACCUGAGGAGGGACAAGGAAGGCACGGAUUUAUUGAAAGAAUGUGCCCUCGUGUGACAUGCUCACUUUCCUGUAGCAAAUAUAGACGUAGAAACGGAUGUUGUUAUUGCCAAUGCUGGGAUGAUUGGGACAAAAAAUUUUGAUAAAUUAUUUAAGUGUAAAAUUUACGCAAAAACAUGUUUAUACCAUUUUUCCUAUUAUUAAUUUUCUAUUAUAUAUUACUUGAAAAAAAAAAUUAUAUAAGAGCAUUUUUUGUGAAAUUCUGAAUUUAAACUGCUAUUAAAUAUAUGAUUUUAUUUUAAUAAAAAUCAGUUGGCACUGAAAAAA